This is a non-coding RNA of Caretta caretta (loggerhead turtle), 979 nucleotides long. Lineage: Eukaryota; Metazoa; Chordata; Testudines; Cheloniidae. The record is from RefSeq and is a predicted model, not a curated record.
UCAGCUGGAGAAGAGCCAAUGCCCAUUCAUGCAUCUAAUUCAUGGUUGCAUGCACACACCAUAGUCAUUGGCUAAUCUGCCCACUUGCUGCUUGAGGAAGAGAACUCGUGAGUUUCAGCUUGAUGGAGUAAACACGCCUUUGUGCCUCUGUGGCAGAGUGCACCCCUGUAUUCACACCCUACCCACUAUUGUAUUAAUCUUUUGUACAAAAUAUGCCUUGUUAGGUAUAAUUGGAAAACUCAUAACUUGCUAGUCAAUAAUAUCAUGGUGAAAUGUAUGCAGCAACACGAUAGGUAAAGUGAUGAAUAUAAGCUGAAAUCGUCACUGAGGUGUGUUUACCGGACAAGUUUGGGGAAUGAGUAAAUCGGUUGCUCAAAACAAAAAGUUGGUGCCCCAGCCAGGUGUUGCCAAAGCUGAUGGGCCUUCACCUUUCACGUAGCCAUGAUUUGGCAAGGAAGCGGGACAGAAACAAACAGGUCUGCAUCUUAGCAAACGACAGCAUAAACCUCUCCCCCACCAGAUUCCUUUUGUCCUUGCUCAGCUGGAAAGAACUUUAUCUAGGGGUCACUCUCAGGAAAAUGCAUUUCAAAGGGUGACUGAACUAUAAAAGUGAGGGGCAAAAACAUGCCAAGUUAUCUUCCCCUACCCUUCUCUCUCUCUUUCUUUUCACCUAAGAAGAAAAAAGAAACAGCAGCUGGACUUUGGAAGCAGAUCCUGGCCUCAGAGUUUGGUCAGCAGCAUACUGAAAACAUGUGGAUUGUCACAAGAGGAGGAGGAUAAGCACUUUCAGAUCCCAUACAGACUAGUUGAUCCUUCCUGGAUUUGAUGAAUCUGGUUACAUCCUGACUUUACCUGAAAGGAGCAACUUGAGAGACUUUGUUCUUCCUGCUUUGGGGCUGGCUGACUGUCCAGUAUGAGGAUGGAAACCAUGAAGAACUUUGCAUGCUGAAAGAAAAGGAGUACUUUUGGCACCUUAGAG